CUCGUUUGCUCCUGGCUCAGGCCUCACGCUGGCGGCGUGCCUCAUCCAUGCAAGUCGCACGCUUCUUUUUCCACCGGUCGCUUGCUCCACCGGUAAAAAGUCGGAGUGGCGCACGGGUGAGUCACACGUGGGUAACCUGCCCAUCAUAAGGGGAUAACACUUGGAAACAGGUGCUAAUACCGUAUAACAAUCGAAACCGCAUGGUUUUGAUUUGAAAGGCGCUUUCGGGUGUCGCUGAUGGAUGGACCCGCGGUGCAUUAGCUAGUUGGUGAGGUAACGGCUCACCAAGGCGACGAUGCAUAGCCGACCUGAGAGGGUGAUCGGCCACAUUGGGACUGAGACACGGCCCAAACUCCUACGGGAGGCAGCAGUAGGGAAUCUUCGGCAAUGGACGAAAGUCUGACCGAGCAACGCCGCGUGAGUGAAGAAGGUUUUCGGAUCGUAAAACUCUGUUGUUAGAGAAGAACAAGGAUGAGAGUAACUGUUCAUCCCUUGACGGUAUCUAACCAGAAAGCCACGGCUAACUACGUGCCAGCAGCCGCGGUAAUACGUAGGUGGCAAGCGUUGUCCGGAUUUAUUGGGCGUAAAGCGAGCGCAGGCGGUUUCUUAAGUCUGAUGUGAAAGCCCCCGGCUCAACCGGGGAGGGUCAUUGGAAACUGGGAGACUUGAGUGCAGAAGAGGAGAGUGGAAUUCCAUGUGUAGCGGUGAAAUGCGUAAAUAUAUGGAGGAACACCAGUGGCGAAGGUGGCUCUCUGGUCUGUAACUGACGCUGAGGCUCGAAAGCGUGGGGAGCAAACAGGAUUAGAUACCCUGGUAGUCAAA
Molecule: ribosomal RNA, 822 nt
Filed under: uncultured bacterium
Lineage: Bacteria
Description: bacterial SSU rRNA
Rfam family: Bacterial small subunit ribosomal RNA
Source: RNAcentral